UACGUAGGGGGCUAGCGUUGUCCGGAAUCAUUGGGCGUAAAGCGCGUGUAGGCGGUCCGGUAAGUCCGCUGUGAAAGUCGGGGGCUCAACCCUCGGAUGCCGGUGGAUACUGUCGGGCUUGAGUACGGAAGAGGCGAGUGGAAUUCCUGGUGUAGCGGUGAAAUGCGUAGAUAUCGGGAGGAACACCAGUGGCGAAGGCGGGUCCCUGGACAACACCUGACACUGAGGCACGAAAGCUAGGGGAGCAAACAGG
RNAcentral lists this ribosomal RNA (253 nucleotides) under uncultured bacterium. Its description in RNAcentral is "partial 16S ribosomal RNA". It matches the Rfam family "Bacterial small subunit ribosomal RNA", at positions 524 to 776 of the family's 1533-position model. The record is from RNAcentral.